UUGUCUCAAAGAUUAAGCCAUGCAUGUCUCAGUACAAGCCAAAUUAAGGUGAAACCGCAAAAGGCUCAUUAAAUCAGUUAUGGUUCCUUAGAUCGUACCCACAUUUACUUGGAUAACUGUGGUAAUUCUAGAGCUAAUACAUGCAAACAGAGCUCUGUCUGGAGCGCUUUUAUUAGAUCAAAACCAUUUGGUGUUGGGCGUAAGCUCUUCAUCGUAUAAUUUGGUGACUCUGAAUAACUUUAUGCUGAUCGCACGGUCUUGCACCGGCGACGUAUCUUUCAAAUGUCUGCCUUAUCAACUGUCGAUGGUAGGUUCUGCGCCUACCAUGGUUGUAACGGGUAACGGGGAAUCAGGGUUCGAUUCCGGAGAGGGAGCCUGAGAAACGGCUACCACAUCCAAGGAAGGCAGCAGGCGCGCAAAUUACCCACUCCCGGCACGGGGAGGUAGUGACGAAAAAUAACGAUACGGGACUCAUCCGAGGCCCCGUAAUCGGAAUGAGUACACUCUAAACCCUUUAACAAGGAUCAAUUGGAGGGCAAGUCUGGUGCCAGCAGCCGCGGUAAUUCCAGCUCCAAUAGCGUAUAUUAAAGUUGUUGCGGUUAAAAAGCUCGUAGUCGAAUUUGUGUUCCGCGCCGCCGGUUCAUCGUUCGCGGUGUCAACUGGCGUGUCGCGGAACGUCCUGCCGGCGGGCCUAUCUUUUUUAUAAAGUAGGUCCAACUCAAUCCCGCCGCGGUGCUCUUCAUUGAGUGUCGAGGUGGGCCGGUACGUUUACUUUGAACAAAUUAGAGUGCUUAAAGCAGGCUAAAAUUUUGCCUGAAUAUUGUGUGCAUGGAAUAAUGGAAUAGGACCUCGGUUCUAUUUUGUUGGUUUUUGGAACCCCGAGGUAAUGAUUAAUAGGAACGGAUGGGGGCAUUCGUAUUGCGACGUUAGAGGUGAAAUUCUUGGAUCGUCGCAAGACGGACAGAAGCGAAAGCAUUUGCCAAAAA
This 986-nucleotide ribosomal RNA is filed under the name Ptilophorus purcharti. RNAcentral describes it as "SSU rRNA". It matches the Rfam family "Eukaryotic small subunit ribosomal RNA", at positions 32 to 964 of the family's 1831-position model. The record is from RNAcentral. Lineage: Eukaryota; Metazoa; Arthropoda; Insecta; Coleoptera; Ripiphoridae.